AAUAAGAGGUCCCGCCUGCCCUGUGACUAGAAUGUUUAACGGCCGCGGUAUUUUGACCGUGCGAAGGUAGCGCAAUCACUUGUCUUUUAAAUGGAGACCUGUAUGAAUGGCAUAACGAGGGCUUAACUGUCUCCUCUCUCAAGUCAAUGAAAUUGAUCCCCCCGUGCAGAAGCGGGGAUAAUAACAUAAGACGAGAAGACCCUAUGGAGCUUUAGAUAUAAGAUAGAUCACGUCAAAAAUGCUUAAAUAAGAGCUAGAACAAGGUAAAUACUAUCGAAAUAUCUUUGGUUGGGGCGACCGCGGAGAAAAAUUAAUCCUCCAUGUGGACUGGGGACCGAGUCCCUAUAACUGAGAGCUCCCGCUCUAUGUAUUAGUAACAUCUAACCUACCAGAUCCGGCCAUGCCGAUCAACGGACCGAGUUACCCUAGGGAUAACAGCGCAAUCCCCUUACAGAGACCUUAUCAACAAGGGGGUUUACGACCUCGAUGUUGGAUCAGGACAUCCUAAUGGUGCAGACGCUAUUAAGGGUUCGUUUGUUCAACGAUUAAAGUCCU
This 555-nucleotide ribosomal RNA is filed under the name Choerodon typus. Its description in RNAcentral is "partial 16S ribosomal RNA". It matches the Rfam family "Bacterial large subunit ribosomal RNA", at positions 1844 to 2597 of the family's 2925-position model. The record is from RNAcentral. Lineage: Eukaryota; Metazoa; Chordata; Actinopteri; Labriformes; Labridae.